Molecule: ribosomal RNA, 705 nt
Filed under: Bacillus cereus
Lineage: Bacteria; Bacillati; Bacillota; Bacilli; Caryophanales; Bacillaceae
Description: bacterial SSU rRNA
Rfam family: Bacterial small subunit ribosomal RNA
Source: RNAcentral
UGUAACUGACAUUGAGGCGGGAAAGCGUGGGGAGCAACCAGGAUUAGUUACCCUGGUAGUCCACGCCGUAAACGAUGAUUGUUAAGUGUUAGAGGGUUUCCCCCCUUUAGUGCUGAAGUUAACGCAUUAACCACUCCCCCUGGGGAGUACGGCCCAAAGGCUGAAAUUCAAAGGAAUUGACGGGGGCCCGCACAAGCGGUGGACCAUGUGGUUUAAUUGGAAGCAACGGGAAGACCCUUACCAGGUCUUGACAUCCUUUGAAAACCCUAGAGAUAGGGUUUCUCCUUCGGGAGCAGAGUGACAGGUGGUGCAUGGUUGUUGUCAGCUCGUGUCGUGAGAUGUUGGGUUAAGUUCCGCAACGAGCGCAACCCUUGAUUUUAGUUGCCAUCAUUAAGUUGGGCACUUUAAGGUGACUGCCGGUGACAAACCGGAGGAAGGUGGGGAAGACGUCAAAUCAUCAUGCCCCUUAUGACCUGGGCUACACACGUGCUACAAUGGACGGUACAAAGAGCUGCAAGACCGCGAGGUGGAGCUAAUUUCAUAAAACCGUUUUCAAUUCGGAUUGUAGGCUGCAACUUGCCUACAUGAAGCUGGAAUCGCUUGUAAUCGCGGAUCAGCCUGCCGCGGGGAAUACGUUUCCGGGCCUUGUACACCCCGCCCGUCCCCCCCCGAGAGUUUGUAACCCCCGAAGUCGGUGGGGUUACC